This 496-nucleotide ribosomal RNA is filed under the name uncultured bacterium. RNAcentral's name for it is "bacterial SSU rRNA". It matches the Rfam family "Bacterial small subunit ribosomal RNA", at positions 29 to 518 of the family's 1533-position model. The record is from RNAcentral.
AUGAACGCUAGCGGCAGGCUUAACACAUGCAAGUCGAGGGGCAGCGGGAUGUAGCAAUACAUUGCCGGCGACCGGCGGAUGGGUGCGUAACGCGUAUGCAACCUACCUAUACAGGGGAAUAACCUUUCGAAAGGGAGACUAACACCCCAUAGUAUUGAUUUAAGGCAUCUUAGAUUAAUUAAAUAUUUAUAGGUAUAAGAUGGGCAUGCGUAUGAUUAGCUAGUUGGUAAGGUAACGGCUUACCAAGGCGACGAUCAUUAGGGGUUCUGAGAGGAAGGUCCCCCACACUGGUACUGAGACACGGACCAGACUCCUACGGGAGGCAGCAGUGAGGAAUAUUGGUCAAUGGGCGCAAGCCUGAACCAGCCAUGCCGCGUGCAAGGAAGACGGCCUUAUGGGUUGUAAACUGCUUUUACAUAAGACUAACCGUAUAUUUGCGAAUAUACCUGAAUGUAUUAUGAGAAUAAGGAUCGGCUAACUCCGUGCCAGCCGCCGC